Molecule: non-coding RNA, 45 nt
Filed under: Schistosoma curassoni
Lineage: Eukaryota; Metazoa; Platyhelminthes; Trematoda; Strigeidida; Schistosomatidae
Source: RNAcentral
AUCCAGUUGAUGUGUCCAAAAUAGAACGAAACUGAUGUCCUAGAU